GCAUCAGUAGUAUAGCGGUAGAAUACUCGCCUUCCAAGCGAGUGGCCCGGGUUCAACUCCCGGCUGAUGCA
This 71-nucleotide transfer RNA is filed under the name Funneliformis mosseae. It matches the Rfam family "tRNA". Rfam says of the family: Transfer RNA (tRNA) molecules are approximately 80 nucleotides in length. Lineage: Eukaryota; Fungi; Glomeromycota; Glomeromycetes; Glomerales; Glomeraceae. The record is from Rfam by way of RNAcentral. RNAcentral also lists the same sequence under 5 other names.